GAUGAACGCUGGCGGCGUGCCUAAUACAUGCAAGUCGAGCGAACGGACGAGAAGCUUGCUUUUCUGAUGUUAGCGGCGGACGGGUGAGUAACACGUGGAUAACCUACCUAUAAGACUGGGAUAACUUCGGGAAACCGGAGCUAAUACCGGAUAAUAUUUUGAACCGCAUGGUUCAUAAGUGAAAGACGGUCUUGCUGUCACUUAUAGAUGGAUCCGCGCUGCAUUAGCUAGUUGGUAAGGUAACGGCUUACCAAGGCAACGAUGGAUAGCCGACCUGAGAGGGUGAUCGGCCACACUGGAACUGAGACACGGUCCAGACUCCUACGGGAGGCAGCAGUAGGGAAUCUUCCGCAAUGGGCGAAAGCCUGACGGAGCAACGCCGCGUGAGUGAUGAAGGUCUUCGGAUCGUAAAACUCUGUUAUUAGGGAAGAACAUAUGUGUAAGUAACUGUGCACAUCUUGACGGUACCUAAUCAGAAAGCCACGGCUAACUACGUG
RNAcentral lists this ribosomal RNA (497 nucleotides) under uncultured bacterium. RNAcentral describes it as "partial 16S ribosomal RNA". It matches the Rfam family "Bacterial small subunit ribosomal RNA", at positions 28 to 507 of the family's 1533-position model. The record is from RNAcentral.